UGGUGUAUCUACAGGUGUGCCAGGCCUUA
Molecule: non-coding RNA, 29 nt
Filed under: Rattus norvegicus (Norway rat)
Lineage: Eukaryota; Metazoa; Chordata; Mammalia; Rodentia; Muridae
Source: RNAcentral